RNAcentral lists this ribosomal RNA (397 nucleotides) under uncultured bacterium. RNAcentral describes it as "bacterial SSU rRNA". It matches the Rfam family "Bacterial small subunit ribosomal RNA", at positions 362 to 776 of the family's 1533-position model. The record is from RNAcentral.
UAUUGCACAAUGGGGGAAACCCUGAUACAGCGACGCCGCGUGAGCGAAGAAGUAUUUCGGUAUGUAAAGCUCUAUCAGCAGGGAAGAAGAUGACGGUACCUGACUAAGAAGCUCCGGCUAAAUACGUGCCAGCAGCCGCGGUAAUACGUAGGGGGCAAGCGUUAUCCGGAUGCACUGGGUGUAAAGGGAGCGUAGACGGCGACGCAAGUCUGGAGUGAAAGCCCGGGGCCCAACCCCGGGACUGCUCUGGAAACUGCGUCGCUGGAGUACGGGAGGGGCAGGCGGAAUUCCUGGUGUAGCGGUGAAAUGCGUAGAUAUCAGGAGGAACACCGGCGGCGAAGGCGGCCUGCUGGACCGUGACUGACGUUGAGGCUCGAGAGAGUGGGGAGCAAACAGG